AGCAGCCGCGGUAAUUCCAGCUCCAAUAGCGUAUAUUAAAGUUGCUGCAGUUAAAAAGCUCGUAGUUGAAUUUCGGGAUCAAUUUACUGGUCGUGCCUACGGUACGUACUGGUUUGUUGAUUCUCUCUUCUGAGAAGCCGUGAUGUCAUUAACUUGGUGUCGCGGGGAAUCAGGACUGUUACUUUGAAAAAAUUAGAGUGUUUAAAGCAGGCUAACGCUUGAAUACAUUAGCAUGGAAUAAUGAAAUAGGACGUUUGAUCCUAUUUUGUUGGUUUCUAGGGUCGACGUAAUGAUAAUAGGGAUAGUUGGGGGCAUUAGUAUUCAAUUGUCAGAGGUGAAAUUCUUGGAUUUAUUGAAGACUAACUACUGCGAAAGCAUUUGCCAAGGAUGUUUUCAUUAAUCAAGAACGAAAGUUAGGGGAUCGAAGACGAUCAGAUACCGUCGUAGUCUUAACCAUAAACUAUGCCGACUAGGGAUCGGAUGAUAAAUUUUAAUAACUCAUUCGGCGCCUUACGGGAACCU
RNAcentral lists this ribosomal RNA (522 nucleotides) under uncultured fungus. RNAcentral describes it as "SSU rRNA". It matches the Rfam family "Eukaryotic small subunit ribosomal RNA", at positions 569 to 1099 of the family's 1831-position model. Lineage: Eukaryota; Fungi. The record is from RNAcentral.